GGGCAAGCGUUGUCCGGAUUCAUUGGGCGUAAAGCGCGCGUAGGUGGAUCGGUAAGUCUGCAUGGAAAGACCCGGGCUCAACUCGGGGAACGGUGUGGAUACUACCGAUCUUGAGGCAAUCAGAGGAUGAUGGGAUUCCCGGUGUAGCGGGGAAAUGCGUAGAUAUCGGGAGGAACACCAGUGGCGAAGGCGAUCAUCUGGGGUUGUUCUGACACUGAGGAGCGAAAGCUAGGGGAGCAAACGGG
RNAcentral lists this ribosomal RNA (245 nucleotides) under uncultured bacterium. RNAcentral describes it as "partial 16S ribosomal RNA". It matches the Rfam family "Bacterial small subunit ribosomal RNA", at positions 532 to 776 of the family's 1533-position model. The record is from RNAcentral.